AAGUCGGAACAAGGUUUCCGGAGGUGGGACGAAUUCUGGGGGUGGACUGCUGUGCAAAUUCCAGGACCGUUCGGGUUGAAGUAGCGAUCUUUUUGCUUGUGGCUCUAUGAGACCGUCCUCUCUUGGCUGCAAGGUAAAAGGUUGCUUUUAGGGAGUUCCAAAGGCGGUUGGGGGAAUUGGGCCAGGGAAUUCCAAAGGCUUCCAGCUGGGAGUACCGGGUUAAUGCGUCGUAACUUACUUUUUUGCUAGGUAAAAAGUUCGGGAUUUUGGCUCCCUUGAAUUGUAUUGCCAACCUUCGCGGGGCCCUUCGAGGCACCCCCCAUCAUAAAACCACCCGCUGCAAAACUUGCCGCCAAGCACCACCAGCUCACAUCCUUAAACGGACCAGGAGCCGGAAACCGAACAAUGGAUAUCUUGGCUCUC
RNAcentral lists this unclassified non-coding RNA (423 nucleotides) under fungal sp. RNAcentral's name for it is "partial internal transcribed spacer region". Lineage: Eukaryota; Fungi. The record is from RNAcentral.